UUCCCUUUCUCAGGUAAACUUCCUCUGAGACAACAAACCCCAGACCACAGGAACUCUUGGUUUCUGUAUGACUGACCCAACCGCACACACAGAAACAACAAACACACAAAGCCCAAGGAUAAGUGUGUGUGUGUUUCCGGGUGGGUGGGUGAACGUAUCUGGAGCAAUUUCAGCAGAAAUGAGUGAGCAAAACUGGACUAACUAGUAUAACCUGAAUAACUAGUCUUGUAGCCAAACAGACAUGGACACAGACAGAGGCAGAGAGAUGGAGUGAAGGAAUUUCAGGAUCCAACUCCAAACCCUGGAGCAAGAGCAACAGCCUCUCCCCCUGCGCAUGCCUCCCCCCUACCACAUUACCCAGACAGAGAGACAGACAGAGAGGAGGGAUAGAGGUUCCUCUCCUAACUCCAGACUGAAACUCAACUCAACUCUGAGAUCUAAACUGUUUAAAAAGGCGGAGUUAGAGCUGAACAGUUCUAAGGAAAGAGGCAGGAUUAAGUUAGAUAACUAGCGAAUUAAGUGAAAUGAUUGAGAGAAAUUGUGUGUGAAUGUGUGUCUGUGUGAUCAUGUUGUUAAUGUGUGUUACACUCUAAAGUAGGACACUGCAGUUUCACCUGCUGUGCUUCUACUAGUAUUGUUUGCCGUACACAAGUACACAACACACACACACACACACACACACACACACACACACACACACACACAGGAUGUGUGUGUUGGGUUUUAACUUUAGCGUCAAUGUUUGACAGUCAGGUCAAUGUAUAAACCUCUGAACGCCACCUGUGGCUUUACCUUUACCCUGUGUGUGUGUGUGUGUGUGUGUGUGUGUGUGUGUGUGUGUGUGUGUGUACUGUAUGUGUGUGUCUGUGUGCGUGCGUGUGUGUGUGUGUGUGUACUGUAUGUGUGUGUCUGUGUGCGUGUUCUCAGGUCAGGCAGGAAUCCUUUAUUCUGACCUGCCACAACAAACUGGAGAUUAAAACUGGUACGAUAGUUACCCAGCUUGUAAGUUUCUUCACACACACACACACACACACACACACACACACACACACACACACACACACACACACACACACACACACACACACACACACACAGAGGGAGUCCCAUAGUGAGUUUCAGGGACUACACUAAACUGUAUUUAUAAUGCAGAGGUAAAUAUUAAAGAUUGAAGACUGUUUGUUUGGGUGAACGCCCGUCAGACUGAAUUACCAUCAUCUAAA
Long non-coding RNA from Oncorhynchus nerka (sockeye salmon), 1223 nucleotides. RefSeq lists it as uncharacterized. The record is from RefSeq and is a predicted model, not a curated record. The transcript has 2 exons. NCBI's taxonomy places the organism in Eukaryota, Metazoa, Chordata, Actinopteri, Salmoniformes, Salmonidae.